Molecule: ribosomal RNA, 465 nt
Filed under: uncultured bacterium
Lineage: Bacteria
Description: partial 16S ribosomal RNA
Rfam family: Bacterial small subunit ribosomal RNA
Source: RNAcentral
GACGAACGCUGGCGGUGUGCUUAACACAUGCAAGUCGAACGGUAAGGCCCUUUCGGGGGUCCACGAGUGGCGAACGGGUGAGUAACACGUGAGUAACCUGCCCUCAUCUCUGGGAUAACAGUCGGAAACGGUUGCUAAUACUGGAUAUGAGCCUGCAAGGCAUCUUGUGGGUUGGAAAGAUUUUUUGGUUGGGGAUGGACUCGCGGCCUAUCAGCUUGUUGGUGAGGUAGUGGCUCACCAAGGCUUCGACGGGUAGCCGGCCUGAGAGGGCGACCGGCCACAGUGGGACUGAGAUACGGCCCAAACUCCUACGGGAGGCAGCAGUGGGGAAUAUUGCACAAUGGACGGAAGUCUGAUGCAGCAACGCCGCGUGCGGGAUGACGGCCUUCGGGUUGUAAACCGCUUUCAAUUGUGACGAAGCUUUUUGUGACGGUAGCAGUAGAAGAAGCACCGGCUAACUACGUG